AGCAGCCGCGGUAAUUCCAGCUCCAAUAGCGUAUAUUAAAGUUGUUGCAGUUAAAAAGCUCGUAGUUGAAUUUCGGAAUCAGUAUGUUGGUCGUGCUUCGGUACGUACUGUCAUUACUGGUUUCUACCUUCUGAAGAACCUUGAUGUCAUUAAUUUGGUGUCUUGGGGAAUCAGGACUGUUACUUUGAAAAAAUUAGAGUGUUUAAAGCAAGCAUACGCUUGAAUACAUUAGCAUGGAAUAAUGAAAUAGGACGUUUGAUUCUAUUUUGUUGGUUUCUAGGAUCGACGUAAUGAUUAAUAGGGAUAGUUGGGGGCAUUAGUAUUCAAUUGUCAGAGGUGAAAUUCUUGGAUUUAUUGAAGACUAACUACUGCGAAAGCAUUUGCCAAGGAUGUUUUCAUUAAUCAAGAACGAAAGUUAGGGGAUCGAAGACGAUCAGAUACCGUCGUAGU
This 450-nucleotide ribosomal RNA is filed under the name uncultured Glomeromycotina. RNAcentral's name for it is "SSU rRNA". It matches the Rfam family "Eukaryotic small subunit ribosomal RNA", at positions 569 to 1024 of the family's 1831-position model. Lineage: Eukaryota; Fungi; Glomeromycota. The record is from RNAcentral.